This 254-nucleotide ribosomal RNA is filed under the name uncultured prokaryote. RNAcentral describes it as "partial 16S ribosomal RNA". It matches the Rfam family "Bacterial small subunit ribosomal RNA", at positions 524 to 776 of the family's 1533-position model. The record is from RNAcentral.
UACGUAGGGACCAAGCGUUGUUCGGAUUUACUGGGCGUAAAGGGCGCGUAGGCGGCUUUGUAAGUCACUUGUGAAAUCUCCGGGCUUAACCCGGAACGGUCAGGUGAUACUGUUUUGCUAGAGUGCGGAAGGGGCAAUCGGAAUUCUUGGUGUAGCGGUGAAAUGCGUAGAUAUCAAGAGGAACACCUGAGGUGAAGACGGGUUGCUGGGCCGACACUGACGCUGACAGCGCGAAAGCCAGGGGAGCAAACGGG